This 253-nucleotide ribosomal RNA is filed under the name uncultured bacterium. Its description in RNAcentral is "partial 16S ribosomal RNA". It matches the Rfam family "Bacterial small subunit ribosomal RNA", at positions 524 to 776 of the family's 1533-position model. The record is from RNAcentral.
UACGGGGGGGGUAAGCGUUGUUCGGAAUUAUUGGGCGUAAAGAGCUCGUAGGCGGUCUGUCACGUCGGCUGUGAAAACCCGAGGCUCAACCUCGGGCCUGCAGUCGAUACGGGCAGACUAGAGUUCGGUAGGGGAGACUGGAAUUCCUGGUGUAGCGGUGAAAUGCGCAGAUAUCAGGAGGAACACCGAUGGCGAAGGCAGCUCGCUGGGACGGUACUGACGCUGAGACGCGAAAGCGUGGGGAGCAAACAGG